CCAGCUCUCCGAGUGGUAGGGGUGAUUAUUGGGCCUAAAGCGUCCGUAGCCGGCCUGGCAAGUCUCUCGUUAAAUCCAGCAACCCAAUUGUUGGGCUGCGGGGGAUACUGUUAGGCUAGGGGGCGGAAGAGGCCGACGGUAUUCCCGGGGUAGGGGUGAAAUCCUAUAAUCCCGGGAGGACCACCAGUGGCGAAGG
Molecule: ribosomal RNA, 196 nt
Filed under: uncultured crenarchaeote
Lineage: Archaea; Thermoproteati; Thermoproteota
Description: partial 16S ribosomal RNA
Rfam family: Archaeal small subunit ribosomal RNA
Source: RNAcentral